Beta vulgaris subsp. vulgaris (sugar beet) is the source of this 719-nucleotide long non-coding RNA. RefSeq lists it as uncharacterized. The transcript is spliced from 3 exons. The record is from RefSeq and is a predicted model, not a curated record. NCBI's taxonomy places the organism in Eukaryota, Viridiplantae, Streptophyta, Magnoliopsida, Caryophyllales, Amaranthaceae.
UCUCAGAGUUUUCUUUCUCUUUAUCUCGGACCUCUUUCUCUCUCGCUGUUCUCCCUCUUUCGGGAUUUCUCUCCUUGUGUUCUUCGUCUCCCUCGCCGUGUUGGUGCGAAGGGUGUUCGUGGUUCGAGUGCGCAGGCGAGGAGGGUCGAGAUUCGGUGCGAGCCGGUCGCGAAAGAGUGGUUCGAAGGUUUUGUGUGGUUCGAACGGUGCGCAGGCGUCGAGGGUUGAAAGCUUGCGCGAGUUCGUCGAAGGGGUCGAGUUGUGCGCGAAGGUGUUCGAGGGUAGUGCGCCAAGCUGAGGUGAGGGUGCGCGAGAAAUCGCGUCGUGCGAGUGUAGCUGCGCGACAGGUUGCGAGAAGGUUUGUGUGAGCGUGGUUCCGCGUCGUGCGAGCGUGGUGGCGCGACGGAUCUGGGUCGCGCAAGGGGGUUUGGGCGACGGAAACCGGUUUCGGUGUUGUGCGCGUGUGUGGUGCGGUUUUCGGUCGCCGGAAUUCUUUCGCCGGCGAUUUCUAACGGUCCCAAUUUCAUAAGCGGCUCGUUCUAUUAAGUCAGCGAAAAUUCUCCGUUACAAGACUAGGUGAGCUGGUGCUGCUGCAUGACAUCAAGCAUAUGGGGGCUAGACUGUAGUUUGAAGUUAACUUUUAGUUUGAUCAUUAUUGAAUUUUAUAGAACAUUAUUACAUGGUUUGAGUUUGAAUAAAGAGGGGUCAUCUAUGAUUCC